This is a non-coding RNA of Paramuricea clavata, 348 nucleotides long. The record is from the annotation of a GenBank genome assembly. NCBI's taxonomy places the organism in Eukaryota, Metazoa, Cnidaria, Anthozoa, Malacalcyonacea, Plexauridae.
GAAACAUACACUAUUACCAGUAAAUAAAUGACACUUGACAAAUUGUUUAUUAUGAAACAAAGUAUUAUUAUAUCUACAAAAUACAAGCAAGAUUCAUUCGUCCGAAAUUCGCGUGUGUUCCUAGUUCGAAUACGUUUCCUUAUUUCAUGAGACCACUGCAUCGCGAAGGAUCGUCAUUGCAUCGUUCGUAGUUCUGAAUUAGGGCAUGCUGUCACAACGGAAUUGUGAAGCUCUUCUAACUUCUGCAACGUUCUGAAAUCUUGUUAAGAACACCCAAACUCUUUUGCCGUUUCUUAAUCUUGGCAAGUUCAUGGAGUAAACUGAGAAUUAUAUGAAACACAAUCAAAC